RNAcentral lists this long non-coding RNA (1561 nucleotides) under Arachis ipaensis. RNAcentral describes it as "long non-coding RNA (AIPA_LNC002384)". Lineage: Eukaryota; Viridiplantae; Streptophyta; Magnoliopsida; Fabales; Fabaceae. The record is from RNAcentral.
CCUAAAGCAACAAGGACGAGGGAACUCUAUAAAAACAACAGGAAUUACAAGUAAAUCUACUAAUCGUCUGCAGCUUCUUACUGAAUCUCCGAACCUGUGUCACUGAAAGGGUGGAAGAUUUGGGGUGAGAACAAACCACACGUUCUCAGUAGGGAAUGGGAAUGCCGUAAAAGUAAUGGAAUAAAAUGCAAAUAAUUAAUUUUACUCAAUAAAACUUUAUUUUUAUCGAACCCUUUGAAAAUACUCUUGUUCUACUUUAGCUAACAAAUUACCUCUUUUUAAAAAAAUCUCUAAACUCAAAUCAAAUUUUAAAUAUAAAAACUAGUCACAUUUUCUGUCUCUCAGCCACAUAGUUAAUCCUCAGUCAAAUGUCAACUCGUAAUCACUUUAAUACACUCACAAACAAGUAGUGCAAGCAAGAGAUUCAAUUCAAUGUACAAGCAAGUCACAACAAGACAAACAGUACAAUCACAAAGUAAUAAGACAAGCAAGCGCAAUCAAAUGCAAAUGUGCAAACAACAUGAUGCAUGUCUAUCCCUAACGUAGGCCAUGAGCUCAUGUGUCAGUUGCCUACCCGCUCCCGACAUUACCCAGGCACAAGUCCCAGGUAUGGCUUUUCAGAUGCAUCAGUGUGCUUACAAGUCGUACGGCCAGGCCGCAUACAGUGUGACUUCAAGUCGUACGGCUAGGCCGCAUACAGUGUGACUUUCCAAAUCAAUAAGCGUACAUCUGGAAAACAGUUCUCAGUGUGUGGGCGUCACCACUUUACAUUGGCACUAAGGCCCAAACAAUAUCACAUCUGUUCUCCUGUGACAGACAUUUCAUUAAUUAAUAUAUUCUUUAAAUCCUUGUUCUCUGCUCUCCUGUGGCAGAGAUUCAUUUUCUUAAUAAACCGAGCUCAAAUCUUUACUUAAAACAAAAUCUCUCCUUAAAAGAUUGGGUUUAAAACAUUAUAUUUUUCUUAAUAAAUCAAACUUUAAAAUAGAGUAAAUCUUUUCUUAACUAAAUAUAUUUUAAAUAAUUUAAUUUUCUAAAACCAAAUCUUUUAAAAUAACUUUUCAAAUAAAACCUCAGAUUUUAUAAAAUUUCGACGGCAUUUUCUCUAAAAUUCAGUCUAAACCACCCUUACGGGUUCCCUAUUCCUCAACAAUUCACCAGCCUUUUUCUCAACAAUUCUUAAAUCAGCGAAAUUCUUAAUAAUCAGAAAACAGUCACAUUCACAGCAAUAAUCCAUACUCAAUAACAUUACUAUUAUUAAUAUAUAUAUAUAUAUAUUUGCAAUUAUUCAAUUAAUUUUGUAGGCAUUCUAAAUUAAAAACGUUUAUCUUUAAAAAUAAAUCCCCUACCUUCGUACGUAAUCGAAAUACUCAAAAUUUCGGAGAAACUUUCUGACCGAGCUGCUGAAAGGAAAAACGUCUGGAAUCCUCCGUGCCUCGUAGAACUCCAGUUGGCCAAGCUCAAGGGGUAGGAGAGCUACGUCACCGUCGACUUCCACCGGACAAAAGUAACGCCAACACGUAAAGGAGGAAGAUACGAACACUUUUACCGGAUUAGAUUUUUU